RNAcentral lists this long non-coding RNA (965 nucleotides) under Nicotiana benthamiana. RNAcentral describes it as "long non-coding RNA (NBEN_LNC018171)". The record is from RNAcentral. Lineage: Eukaryota; Viridiplantae; Streptophyta; Magnoliopsida; Solanales; Solanaceae.
GAAGAAAAGGAGAAGAAAAUUAGCGCAGUCACAUUCAUAAAAUAGAGGCCCCCCAUCGCCGCCUCUCUGCUUCAAAAAAAUGACCCCUGAAGCUCGUCUUCUUGGACGAGACCAGCCUCGCCAGCUCCUCCACUCAUCUCCCAGCUUGCCGGAAUUCGGCUACCACCAGUAGCUGAGGCUCACACGACCCUUCGCCGGAAAACAAGUCGCACAGCAACAAACACACAAACAUGACCCCUCGACGAAAACCAGUCGUACAGCAACAAACACACACCCACAACGAGUUCUCACCUCUAUUCUAAACUAAAACGAAAACAAAAUAGUAGGGGGAGGGAAUUGAAAUCGAAACAGAAAGGGGGGAAAGGAACGGGAAAGUAGGGGAGGUGAAAAACAGUGAGAACAGAGGGAUUGAACGGACAUGUUUCAUUCUCAUUUCGAAUUCGAAUCUCUUCGAUUUUCAUGUCGACUUCUGGUUUGCUUCUGAUUUUCCAAUUCAGGUUCUUAUCUGAGGUGAGCGUGGAGGUUGUUGACAAUCUCGUCGAGGUUUCCGUUCAAAAUUUGGUUGUGGAUUGGCCUUUGCUCAAGUUUUUCUUUUCGAUUUUUAGUUGUGUAUCAGAUAUGAAUCUCUAUUCGAAAUGCUGAAAUUGUUGAUCCGUUUGCCAUUAUUUUCUUAUGCUCUGACGUCUCCUUUGGAUUGUUGAAACAUAUGUUCAUGAUUUGCUCAUCGAAGACUUCAAUUUGUGUUGAUUGUUUACUGCCUCUAUUUUGUUGAAGUAAGCUGAUUCAUGUUCAGCAAUACGUGAGCGAGGUUUUCCUUACGGAGUUUACUGUUGUUGUUCUUUCUACAAAUUGCUUUCGUUCAGAUUGUUCCUCGAUCUUUGUUUUUUUCUGUUGUUAUUUAGACAGUGUUUAUAGUGGAUUUUUUAUGGAAUUGAGAUGAAAUCCAACCAACAUUGAUUCUUUUA